GGGGAUGUACCGGUUUCGACGGGGUUUUUGGAGCGUCCGCCGCAGGCAGAGGGUCCCGUUGGCCUCUUUAAAAAGCGGGAACUUAAAAUUAAACGCUAACGAUAAUUUAGCACUUCAGGCUGCCUGACGGCAGUCUCGUCGCCCUGCCGGUCGCCGAGCCGGGAGUCAGCGGCGUCACCAAUUCGGCCCUGUCCGUAUGGCGGUCAAAUCGGAGAACGGCGCGGUCAAAGCUUUGCGCCCGCGUUGUACUUAUGAAGCUACCGUGCGCCUGACCCCGGCUGUCGGGGCUCGCGCGGGGGAAAUCUAAAUGGCAGCCUAAGCCUGUAGAAGUUGACGAAGAUAAAAUUUCGGACAGGGGUCCGACUCCCCUCAUCUCCAUUU
RNAcentral lists this transfer-messenger RNA (381 nucleotides) under Clostridia bacterium. It matches the Rfam family "transfer-messenger RNA". From Rfam's summary of the family: Bacterial tmRNA, also known as 10Sa RNA or SsrA, is named for its dual tRNA and mRNA-like properties. Lineage: Bacteria; Bacillati; Bacillota; Clostridia. The record is from RNAcentral.